CAUACCAGCCUCAUUUGCCAAAUCCCCUCUCUCCGCCUGCUGAGAGAGCGAUGGAAAUGGCGAUUGGCUUCCAAACGCAGCUCAAAUCCUCGUCUUCUUUCGGCCAUUUCUCCGGCAGAAACCCUAAUAGGAGCCCUUCCCUUUCCUCUCUCCAUCUCCCGAAACAAAUCCUCGGCCGCACCUUCCCCUCAUCUCAAACCGUUAAAAUACUCUCGAAGCUCGCUGCUCGUUCUGGGUCUUCCAAUCUCACCGCAAUCAAAUGCUCUGUUUCAUCGACCACCGAAACCACUACCGUAGGGAAAAAGAACCAGUUAAUGACAAGAAGAGAUGUACGAAAUAUAGCAAUUGUUGCUCAUGUUGAUCAUGGAAAGACGACUUUGGUGGAUGCAAUGUUGAAACAAUCUAAGGUGUUUCGUGACAACCAAUUUGUAGAAGAGAGGAUAAUGGACUCAAACGAUCUUGAGCGGGAAAGGGGAAUUACUAUUCUUAGCAAAAAUACUUCAAUCUUCUACAAGGAUACUAAGAUAAACAUUAUUGAUACUCCAGGUCAUUCUGACUUUGGUGGUGAAGUGGAACGUGUCCUUAAUAUGGUGGAGGGAGUUCUUCUAGUGGUAGAUUCUGUAGAGGGACCAAUGCCACAAACAAGAUUUGUUCUAAAGAAAGCUCUAGAAUUUGGGCAUGCUGUUGUAGUUGUUGUGAAUAAGAUUGAUAGGCCUUCAGCACGCCCAGACUAUGUGAUCAAUUCCACUUUUGAACUUUUUAUUGAGUUAAAUGCAACAGAUGAACAGUGUGAUUUCCAAGCGAUAUAUGCGAGUGCUAUCAAGGGAAAGGCUGGACUAUCUGCAGACAAUCUUGCAGAUGAUCUUGGACCACUUUUUGAGGCUAUUGUUAGAUGCAUACCAGAGCCAACUAUUGAUAAAGAUGGUGCAUUGCAGAUGCUUGUGACAAAUACUGAGUAUGAUGAGCACAAAGGCCGAAUAGCAAUUGGACGCUUGCAUGCUGGGGUGUUGCAAAGAGGCAUGGAUGUGAAGGUAUGCACCUCAGAGGAAACAUGUAGGUAUAGUAAAAUCAGUGAGCUUUUUGUCUUUGAGAACUUUAGCAGGGCUCCGGUGGAGACUGUGGAGGCUGGUGAUAUUUGUGCUGUUUGUGGUAUUGGUGAUAUUAUGAUUGGGGAGACAAUAGCCGAUAAAAGUGCUGGGAAGCCUUUACCUGCCAUUAAGGUGGAAGAGCCAACAGUUAAAAUGUCUUUCUCUAUCAAUACUUCACCUUUUGUUGGCCGUGAGGGAAAGUAUGUAACCAGUAGAAAUCUUCGAGAUCGGCUCUACCGUGAGCUUGAGAGGAAUUUAGCUAUGAAAGUUGAAGAAGGUGAAACGGCAGAUACAUUCAUCGUCAGUGGGAGGGGUACCUUACAUAUCACCAUAUUGAUAGAGAACAUGCGGAGGGAAGGGUACGAGUUUAUGGUGGGGCCACCGAAGGUUAUUAACAAGAAGGUGGAUGAUAAGUUGUUCGAGCCUUUUGAGAUUGCUACUGUGGAGGUUCCAGAAGAAUACAUGGGACCUGUAGUUGAACUUCUUGGGAAAAGGCGGGGGCAAAUGUUUGAUAUGCAGGGGCUUGGGUCGGAGGGGACAUCAUUGAUUAAAUAUAAGAUCCCUACUCGUGGUCUUCUUGGACUGCGGAAUGCGAUCCUAACAGCUUCUCGAGGCACAGCAAUUCUCAACACGGUAUUUGAUAGCUAUGGACCAUGGGCUGGGGAUAUCAGCACCCGUGAUCAGGGGUCCUUGGUUGCUUUUGAGGGUGGGACAACUACUUCCUAUGCACUUUCGAGUUCACAGGAAAGAGGUCAGUUGUUUGUUAGCCCUGGUAUGGAAGUGUACAAGGGUCAAAUAGUUGGCAUUCAUCAGCGUCCUGGUGAUCUAUCCCUCAAUGUCUGCAAGAAAAAGGCGGCAACAAACAUACGGUCCAAUAAGGAACAAACAGUUAUUCUGGAUACGCCCUUAACGUACAGUCUUGAUGACUGCAUAGAGUACAUCCAAGAAGAUGAAUUGGUAGAGGUCACGCCAUCAAGCAUCCGAAUGUUGAAAAACCCAAAGUUCGGAAAGAAAAAAUAACUCAAUCAUUUGGCGAACCAUGCCGAUUUGGCCGUUUGUGCCUUCAUACAAAACCAAAUUGGUUACAUUGCAUUUCCAGUCGAGAACUGUGUGAGGCAGUUACAGCCCAAAGAUGAAUACAUGUAUUUUUAAUGAGCUUGCUGCAUAUUUAAAGGCGUAAUUAAUCUAUAGAAUCUUUUUGUUGUAUCAUUCAACAUAUACAUAGGAUUUUCAACACAUAUAUAUAUUUUUUAAAAUAAGGAAAUAAAGUAAUUUUGAGUAUUUUCUAAA
Magnolia sinica is the source of this 2378-nucleotide RNA transcript. It is a transcript of the gene named putative elongation factor TypA-like SVR3, chloroplastic, with no coding region annotated. The record is from RefSeq and is a predicted model, not a curated record. Lineage: Eukaryota; Viridiplantae; Streptophyta; Magnoliopsida; Magnoliales; Magnoliaceae. The transcript is spliced from 15 exons.